GUCCCAGAUGAGCAGAAGCCAGGGGGAGUUGCAGUGACGCGCCCGUGAGCUCCGCCGGCAGCCAGCCGUGCCUGAGUGACCGAGCCUAAUGGCUGUUCUACAGUAAUUAUACUAUUUUGUGCGCACACCUCCUCCAUGAAACUUAAGCCGAUGACGAACUAAAUAAAUGAAAACCUUGAACACCCUGGGAAUGCUUUUCAGGGUGGAACUCAUGGCGGGUUCACGCCCUCGGCCCACGCCCCUCUGAAGAGGAAACACCUGGGCCUCAUCAGUGCAGCCAGCCUUUAAGCCAGGGAGUGGCUUCUACUCAUCGCUGGAUCGUUGUGUGUGACUCGCAUCCCCUGGACCCGACCCUGCAUUCCCUGAGUGGAUUCCUGUUUUUUUGUGAGUGUUUGGAGAGAGACUGGUCACGAUAGGAGAGAGUCAGAAGAGGAGCAAGUGUCUUUUCCCUACCUGGAAUUUCCCGGAGCCUUUUCCCUGUCACUGCUUUGUAUAUAGCACUACCCCUGCACUAUUUGUA
This is a long non-coding RNA of Astatotilapia calliptera (eastern happy), 520 nucleotides long. The record is from Ensembl. NCBI's taxonomy places the organism in Eukaryota, Metazoa, Chordata, Actinopteri, Cichliformes, Cichlidae.